This 425-nucleotide ribosomal RNA is filed under the name Sarmarutilus rubilio. Its description in RNAcentral is "partial 16S ribosomal RNA". It matches the Rfam family "Bacterial large subunit ribosomal RNA", at positions 1940 to 2515 of the family's 2925-position model. Lineage: Eukaryota; Metazoa; Chordata; Actinopteri; Cypriniformes; Leuciscidae. The record is from RNAcentral.
UUUUGACCGUGCAAAGGUAGCGCAAUCACUUGUCUCUUAAAUAGAGACCUGUAUGAAUGGCUAGACGAGGGCUUAACUGUCUCCCCCUUCCAGUCAGUGAAAUUGAUCUAUCCGUGCAGAAGCGGGUGUAAUUAUACAAGACGAGAAGACCCUUUGGAGCUUAAGGUACAAAGUUCAACCACGUUAAAUGACUCUACAAAAAGCAAGAACCUAGUGGCCAAUGAAAUUUUACCUUCGGUUGGGGCGACCACGGAGGAAAGAUAAGCCUCCGAGUGGACUGGGCUAAAUCCCCAAAGCCAAGAGAUACAUCUAUAAGCCGCAGAACAUCUGACCAAGAAAUGAUCCGACUGAAAAGCCGAUCAACGAACCAAGUUACCCUAGGGAUAACAGCGCAAUCCUCUCCCAGAGUCCAUAUCGACGAAGGG